GACGAACGCUGGCGGCGUGCCUAAUACAUGCAAGUUGAGCGCUGAAGGUUGGUACUUGUACCGACUGGAUGAGCAGCGAACGGGUGAGUAACGCGUGGGGAAUCUGCCUUUGAGCGGGGGACAACAUUUGGAAACGAAUGCUAAUACCGCAUAAAAACUUUAAACACAAGUUUUAAGUUUGAAAGAUGCAAUUGCAUCACUCAAAGAUGAUCCCGCGUUGUAUUAGCUAGUUGGUGAGGUAAAGGCUCACCAAGGCGAUGAUACAUAGCCGACCUGAGAGGGUGAUCGGCCACAUUGGGACUGAGACACGGCCCAAACGCCUACGGGAGGCAGCAGUAGGGAAUCUUCGGCAAUGGACGAAAGUCUGACCGAGCAACGCCGCGGGAGUGAAGAAGGGUGUCGGAUCGUAAAACUCUGUUGGUAGAGAAGAACGUUGGUGAGAGUGGAAAGCUCAUCAAGUGACGGUAACUACCCAGAAAGGGACGGCUAACUACGUG
RNAcentral lists this ribosomal RNA (497 nucleotides) under uncultured bacterium. RNAcentral's name for it is "partial 16S ribosomal RNA". It matches the Rfam family "Bacterial small subunit ribosomal RNA", at positions 28 to 507 of the family's 1533-position model. The record is from RNAcentral.